GAGGGUAUAGCUCAGUGGUAGAGCGCGUGCAUGCACGAGUUCCUGGGUUCAAUCCCUAGUAUCUCCG
RNAcentral lists this transfer RNA (67 nucleotides) under Camelus bactrianus (Bactrian camel). It matches the Rfam family "tRNA". From Rfam's summary of the family: Transfer RNA (tRNA) molecules are approximately 80 nucleotides in length. The record is from Rfam by way of RNAcentral. RNAcentral also lists the same sequence under 2 other names. Lineage: Eukaryota; Metazoa; Chordata; Mammalia; Artiodactyla; Camelidae.